RNAcentral lists this long non-coding RNA (1170 nucleotides) under Malus domestica (apple). RNAcentral's name for it is "long non-coding RNA (MDOM_LNC010718)". Lineage: Eukaryota; Viridiplantae; Streptophyta; Magnoliopsida; Rosales; Rosaceae. The record is from RNAcentral.
AAUGCAUUUCCUUCCAAUUUUUUGUGAUAAACUAAUAGAUAAUUGACUAAAUAAGCAUCCUACAAAAUUUCAAUAAAAAUUUCCAAGUUUUUCUUACAAUUUCCGUGGUUUCCAUAUUAUUUUUAUCGAUAUCAAUAAUAUCCCGAUAUUUCCAUCGAUAUUUCCGUGUUUUUGGACUACCGAUAUUUCCGAUAUCAUCGAUAUUUUAUACCUUGCAUAUAAUUAUUGUGAAUGCUUUGAAGUACUAGUGCGAACUACGAAUGGCUUGAUCUCUGUUUAGGGUACGUAAGCAGUUUAACGAGACGUUAGAUGUAACCAUACAAUAAUUGAGACAAUAGCCUUGUUUGGGGAAUUGAGCAAUGUGAGGGACAUUGGUGGAAAAUGUGAGAUUUAACCUUAUGAUUUGGUGGUUAAAUGUUGGUCAUAAAUCAAUGUGUGAAGAAUCAAGAAAUUGAUGUAAGGAAUUGUAAGCAAUGAUAGUUAAUUAAACUAAUUUCUAAUUGGGCUUAUCACUGAUAAUUAUGCUCGGAAAUAAAUAGUUCGGGAGUAGGGCGUUACAACUUUUACAUUUUAUUCCAUAUUAUAUAUAUGUAUAUAUUUAGAAAUACUAUGAUAUGGUUGAAUUUUAGAUUGCAUCAUGGCAUAUCCAUAUGUACAUUACUUGCACAUAAUUAUUGUGAAUGCAUUGAAGUGCAAAGGUGAAUGCAGGACGCACAGGUAAGUUCAGGUGAGUUUAUGGUAUUAUUUGAAAUGAUUGAGUUAUUGUAUGACUACAUUUAUGUUUUAGGCAACUCCGACCUUGUCAUACAGGUUGCAAUAAUAGGCAACUCCGACACUGUCAUAUAGGUUGCCCAUGAGUCGUAUAUGUUAUAUUAAAUACAAUUAGAGCUCAUAAACUUGCACCCCCAUGUUAGUGCUCCCGUCCGUGGUCAAGGCAUAGUUCUUCACGUGAUGUUCACCACCCGCACCUUACGAUCACUUUGGAUCCAAUGUAGGUGCACAGUCAUGUCGUACAGACCACUAUAGGUGGUUCCGACUUGUAGGUGACCCAUAAUUAUUCACACAGUCUUCACGUGAUCGUAACACUUGAGCGUACUUAUUUACACACAGUCCUGUCGUACAGACCACUAUAGGUGGUUCCGACUUGUAGGUGACCCAUAAUUAUUCACA